AGAGUUUGAUCAUGGCUCAGAUUGAACGCUGGCGGCAGGCCUAACACAUGCAAGUCGAGCGGUAGCACAGAGAGCUUGCUCUCGGGUGACGAGCGGCGGACGGGUGAGUAAUGUCUGGGAAACUGCCUGAUGGAGGGGGAUAACUACUGGAAACGGUAGCUAAUACCGCAUAAUGUCGCAAGACCAAAGUGGGGGACCUUCGGGCCUCAUGCCAUCAGAUGUGCCCAGAUGGGAUUAGCUAGUAGGUGGGGUAACGGCUCACCUAGGCGACGAUCCCUAGCUGGUCUGAGAGGAUGACCAGCCACACUGGAACUGAGACACGGUCCAGACUCCUACGGGAGGCAGCAGUGGGGAAUAUUGCACAAUGGGCGCAAGCCUGAUGCAGCCAUGCCGCGUGUGUGAAGAAGGCCUUCGGGUUGUAAAGCACUUUCAGCGGGGAGGAAGGCGAUAAGGUUAAUAACCUUGUCGAUUGACGUUACCCGCAGAAGAAGCACCGGCUAACUCCGUGCCAGCAGCCGCGGUAAUACGGAGGGUGCAAGCGUUAAUCGGAAUUACUGGGCGUAAAGCGCACGCAGGCGGUCUGUCAAGUCGGAUGUGAAAUCCCCGGGCUCAACCUGGGAACUGCAUUCGAAACUGGCAGGCUAGAGUCUUGUAGAGGGGGGUAGAAUUCCAGGUGUAGCGGUGAAAUGCGUAGAGAUCUGGAGGAAUACCGGUGGCGAAGGCGGCCCCCUGGACAAAGACUGACGCUCAGGUGCGAAAGCGUGGGGAGCAAACAGGAUUAGAUACCCUGGUAGUCCACGCCGUAAACGAUGUCGAUUUGGAGGUUGUGCCCUUGAGGCGUGGCUUCCGGAGCUAACGCGUUAAAUCGACCGCCUGGGGAGUACGGCCGCAAGGUUAAAACUCAAAUGAAUUGACGGGGGCCCGCACAAGCGGUGGAGCAUGUGGUUUAAUUCGAUGCAACGCGAAGAACCUUACCUGGUCUUGACAUCCACAGAACUUAGCAGAGAUGCUUUGGUGCCUUCGGGAACUGUGAGACAGGUGCUGCAUGGCUGUCGUCAGCUCGUGUUGUGAAAUGUUGGGUUAAGUCCCGCAACGAGCGCAACCCUUAUCCUUUGUUGCCAGCGGUUAGGCCGGGAACUCAAAGGAGACUGCCAGUGAUAAACUGGAGGAAGGUGGGGAUGACGUCAAGUCAUCAUGGCCCUUACGACCAGGGCUACACACGUGCUACAAUGGCAUAUACAAAGAGAAGCGACCUCGCGAGAGCAAGCGGACCUCAUAAAGUAUGUCGUAGUCCGGAUUGGAGUCUGCAACUCGACUCCAUGAAGUCGGAAUCGCUAGUAAUCGUAGAUCAGAAUGCUACGGUGAAUACGUUCCCGGGCCUUGUACACACCGCCCGUCACACCAUGGGAGUGGGUUGCAAAAGAAGUAGGUAGCUUAACCUUCGGGAGGGCGCUUACCACUUUGUGAUUCAUGACUGGGGUGAAGUCGUAACAAGGUAACCGUAGGGGAACCUGCGGUUGGAUCACCU
This 1528-nucleotide ribosomal RNA is filed under the name Klebsiella pneumoniae. Its description in RNAcentral is "bacterial SSU rRNA". It matches the Rfam family "Bacterial small subunit ribosomal RNA". The record is from RNAcentral. Lineage: Bacteria; Pseudomonadati; Pseudomonadota; Gammaproteobacteria; Enterobacterales; Enterobacteriaceae. RNAcentral also lists the same sequence under 2 other names.